AACGAACGCUGGCGGCAUGCCUAACACAUGCAAGUCGAACGAGCCCUUCGGGUCUAGUGGCGCCCGGGUGCGUAACGCGUGGGAACCUGCCCUUAGGUUCGGACUAACUCCCCGACAGGGGUGCUAAUACCGGAUAAUGUCUUCUGACCAAAGAUUUAUCGCCUUUGGAUGUUCCCUCGUUGGAUUAGCUAGUUGUUAGGGUAAAAGCCUACCACGGCGACGAUCCAUAGCUGGUCUGAGAGAAUGAUCAGCCACACUGGGACUGAGACACGGCCCAGACUCCUACGGGAGGCAGCAGUGGGGAAUAGUGGACAAUGGGCGAAAGCCUGAUCCGGCAAUGCCGCGUGAGUGAUGAAGGCCUUAGGGUUGUAAAGCUCUUUUACCCGGGAUGAUAAUGACAGUACCGGGAGAAUAAGCUCCGGCUAACUCCGUG
RNAcentral lists this ribosomal RNA (433 nucleotides) under uncultured bacterium. RNAcentral describes it as "partial 16S ribosomal RNA". It matches the Rfam family "Bacterial small subunit ribosomal RNA", at positions 29 to 507 of the family's 1533-position model. The record is from RNAcentral.